RNAcentral lists this ribosomal RNA (506 nucleotides) under uncultured Verrucomicrobiota bacterium. RNAcentral's name for it is "bacterial SSU rRNA". It matches the Rfam family "Bacterial small subunit ribosomal RNA", at positions 355 to 855 of the family's 1533-position model. Lineage: Bacteria; Pseudomonadati; Verrucomicrobiota. The record is from RNAcentral.
UCGAGAAUUUUUCACAAUGGGCGCAAGCCUGAUGGAGCGACGCCGCGUGGGGGAUGAAUGGCUUCGGCCCGUAAACCCCUGUCAUUUGCGAUCAAACCUCGUUAUUUAAAAGAUGACGAGCUGAUAGUAGCGAAAGAGGAAGGGACGGCUAACUCUGUGCCAGCAGCCGCGGUAAUACAGAGGUCCCAAGCGUUGUUCGGAUUCACUGGGCGUAAAGGGUGCGUAGGUGGUGGGGUAAGUCGGAUGUGAAAUCUCCGAGCUCAACUCGGAAAUGGCAUUGGAAACUACCCUGCUAGAGGGUCGAGGGGGGACUGGAAUGCUUGGUGUAGCAGUGAAAUGCGUAGAUAUCAAGCGGAACACCAGUGGCGAAGGCGAGUCCCUGGACGACUCCUGACACUGAGGCACGAAAGCUAGGGGAGCAAACAGGAUUAGAUACCCUGGUAGUCCUAGCCGUAAACGGUGCACGUUUGCUGUAAAAGGAAUCGACCCCUUUGUGGCGUAGACCG